AAUACCAAAAACUAUCUUCUUCUUCCUAUUUUCUAAGAAAAACCGUCCACCAAGGGAGAGGAAAAAUCGUGAGGUUCUCAAAUAAGUCUCACCCCGAUCUUCUGUCGAACCGUCGAUUUAAUCGUGUAAAGGUUAUGAAAUCAAGUAGCUACACCCAAAUGUUCGCAAGGGAUAGGAAAAAGGAUCCGUGAGAGAAGAAACAUCGAAUGGAAAGGUUUGGAAAUAAACGUCAUCCAGGUAGCAUGCUCAACACUUAAAUGGCCUAAUUCUCAUGUGCUUUUAUGUGAUUAUUAUGUGACCUAUUGUCUUAGUAAAUUAUGAUUAAUUAUGUGAUAAAAGACUUGUGGAGUAAAAUAUGAGAAAAUGAUGAAUUGUUGAAUGAUUUGGAAAUAUAUGUGUUGGUGUGAUAAAUGAUUAUAUGAAACCAAGAUGAAAAUGAAUAUGAUUAUGACUAUAAAGAUUUUGAGAUAAAGGUGGAAAUGGACGCUAAGACGAAUGUGAAAAACGAUAUAUGUUGAUGAGAUGUAUACGAAUAUGUGAUUGCAGUAUGUGAUAUGUAUAUGUUGCUUCUGACACAAAAAAUGUAAAUUUGGAUAUGUGAUGGUAUUGAAAGAGCUGGAAAUUUAUCUGUUUAUCUAAUCUGAUAUGGUAUGAAAGGAAGAUAUUGAUGUGUUAUGUUAGUAAUUUUUGAGAAUAAGUAUUGAUAUGAAAAUGGGUAUAUUUGAAUGUGUUUACGCCCCGUGCUUGAGUGUGUUCUGUGGGUACAAUUGGCAUGCCAUAGGAUAGCAGCGCUGCAUCAUCUGUGAUCUCCCGUCUUCUGGAUAACCGAAGCGAGGAUCGUCUGUUAUCUGAUCUGUCCGAUCUGCACCCUAUGGGUGGUCUGUUCCCGGGAUUAUCCGUCUGCAUCCGAAAUGGAUGGUCUGAUUAUCUGUCUGCACCCUAAUUGGGUGGUAUGUGCGGAGUCCUCUCGAGGACAAAAUCCGCGUCUAUAUUUGAUUCUGAUUCUGAUCUGGUCUGCGUACCCUAGUCUGUCACUAAGCACUUAAUGCGGCUAUCUAUGUGUUUGGAUAUGUGAAAAUAUGGUUAGUUUGUAUAUGUGUGCUAUGUGUGUUGGUAUGUGAUAUUGCUUUGUAUAUGUCACGUGGAAUACUUGAUGCUAUGGAUAUGUUGAUAAUUGUUGAUAUGUUCUGCGAUUGAUAUUGUCUAUUGCUGGACUAUGGGCAUGUGUUGGUUUUAGGGGAGACGCUGCCUAAAUUAUGUUAGAUGUGACAAUAUGUGUAUGACAAUAUAUGAGUUAUAAUAUGAGAUUAUGUGAAACAUCUGUUAUAAUUUGAUAUGAUAAUAUCUUAUACGUGAAAAUGGAUUAUAUUACAUAGUUCUGUUGGGUUUUGUUAUAAAUAUUGAAAACCCGAGACUUGCAGAUGUACUUUAUGACAUAUGUGAAGUUUUGUAUUAUUAUACCCCUCUGAUGAUGACAUAGUUUGGAAAUUUGAAGUCGUGGGCGAAGAUUUGACUACUGGUACGGGUAUGUUGAUACGUGUGAUAGCGUCUGUGAUUUGUUUGUGUAGAUGUGGUGAUGAUUGAAACAAAAUAAUAAGAAUUUAAAAAGAAUUUUUAGUUGAAUGAUUAUUGAUUGUUAGGGAAUUGUGGCUGAAGUGUUUAGUGUGCUACAGGUUAAUUGGAUCGGGGAUUUCUUUGGAUAUUUCUUUUGUUUCCUCUCCAGCACUGCAUCCUCGGUGGGUCACUGAUCACUGCUUGCGGCGUUUGUGUCCAUUUCUGUUAGAUGUGGCAUGUAUAGUAUUUGAAUAUUUGUAAUAGCUUCCGUUGUGUUUGUAAAUAGUGUUGGAACUCUUGCUGAUAGGUUAGUGAAUUAAGUUUGGUUUUUAAUUGACCAUAAUUUAUAGCACCGUAAUUGUGACAUUUCUUA
Molecule: long non-coding RNA, 1927 nt
Organism: Salvia splendens (bonfire salvia)
Lineage: Eukaryota; Viridiplantae; Streptophyta; Magnoliopsida; Lamiales; Lamiaceae
Exons: 2
Source: RefSeq, a predicted model, not a curated record